RNAcentral lists this ribosomal RNA (442 nucleotides) under uncultured bacterium. RNAcentral's name for it is "bacterial SSU rRNA". It matches the Rfam family "Bacterial small subunit ribosomal RNA", at positions 336 to 795 of the family's 1533-position model. The record is from RNAcentral.
UUCCUACGGGGGGCUGCAGUCGGGAAUUUUGGGCAAUGGGCGAAAGCCUGACCCAGCAACGCCGCGUGAAGGAUGAAGUAUUUCGGUAUGUAAACUUCGUAAGAAUAGGAAGAAUCAAUGACGGUACUAUUUGUAAGCUCCGGCUAACUACGUGCCAGCAGCCGCGGUAAUACGUAGGGGGCAAGCGUUGUUCGGAUUUACUGGGCGUAAAGGGCGCGUAGGCGGCGUGACAAGUCACUUGUGAAAUCUCCGGGCUUAACUCGGAACGGUCAAGUGAUACUGUUGUGCUAGAGUGCAGAAAGGGCAACUGGAAUUCUUGGUGUAGCGGUGAAAUGCGUAGAUAUCAAGAGGAACACCUGAGGCGAAGGCGAGUUGCUAGGCUGACACUGACGCUGAGGCGCGAAAGCUAGGGGAGCGAACGGGAUUAGAUACCCCGGUAGUC